Molecule: non-coding RNA, 117 nt
Organism: Danio rerio (zebrafish)
Lineage: Eukaryota; Metazoa; Chordata; Actinopteri; Cypriniformes; Danionidae
Source: Rfam
AUUCACAGCCAUAUCACCCAGCAGGCCAAGAUUGGUUAUUCACUGAAGCCAAGCAGGGCUAAGCCUGGUCAGUACCUGGAUGGCAGACCACAUUGGAACACUAGGUUGCUGUUGGAA